Molecule: ribosomal RNA, 496 nt
Filed under: uncultured bacterium
Lineage: Bacteria
Description: partial 16S ribosomal RNA
Rfam family: Bacterial small subunit ribosomal RNA
Source: RNAcentral
AUGAACGCUGGCGGCGUGCCUAAUACAUGCAAGUCGAGCGAACAGACGAGGAGCUUGCUCCUCUGACGUUAGCGGCGGACGGGUGAGUAACACGUGGAUAACCUACCUAUAAGACUGGGAUAACUUCGGGAAACCGGAGCUACUACCGGAUAAUAUAUUGAACCGCAUGGUUCAAUAGUGAAAGACGGUUUUGCUGUCACUUAUAGAUGGAUCCGCGCCGCAUUAGCUAGUUGGUAAGGUAACGGCUUACCAAGGCAACGAUGCGUAGCCGACCUGAGAGGGUGAUCGGCCACACUGGAACUGAGACACGGUCCAGACUCCUACGGGAGGCAGCAGUAGGGAAUCUUCCGCAAUGGGCGAAAGCCUGACGGAGCAACGCCGCGUGAGUGAUGAAGGUCUUCGGAUCGUAAAACUCUGUUAUUAGGGAAGAACAAAUGUGUAAGUAACUAUGCACGUCUUGACGGUACCUAAUCAGAAAGCCACGGCUAGCUACGUG